This 243-nucleotide ribosomal RNA is filed under the name uncultured bacterium. RNAcentral describes it as "partial 16S ribosomal RNA". It matches the Rfam family "Bacterial small subunit ribosomal RNA", at positions 15 to 248 of the family's 1533-position model. The record is from RNAcentral.
GAUCCUGGCUCAGGAUAAACGCUGGCGGCGUGCUUAACACAUUCAAGUCGAACGGGGUAUGUUUGGAAGCUUGCUUUUGGACAUACUUAGUGGCGGACGGGUGAGUAAUGCAUGAGCAACCUGCCUUCAAGAGGGGGAUAACACAUGGAAACGUGUGCUAAUACCGCAUAGACGUACGGACGGCAUCGUAUGUACGGGAAAGGAGCAAUCCGCUUGAAGAUGGGCUCAUGUCCGAUUAGGUUG